AGGUGCGAUCAUACUAGCAAUAAUGGACUGGAUCCGAUAAGAACUUUGCAGUUAAGCGUGCUUCGGCGAGAGUAGUUCUAGGAUGGGUGACCUCCUGGGAAGUCCUCGUGUUGCACCUU
This 119-nucleotide ribosomal RNA is filed under the name Vigna angularis (adzuki bean). The record is from RNAcentral. Lineage: Eukaryota; Viridiplantae; Streptophyta; Magnoliopsida; Fabales; Fabaceae.